AACGAACGCUGGCGGCAUGCCUAACACAUGCAAGUCGAACGAGACCUUCGGGUCUAGUGGCGCACGGGUGCGUAACGCGUGGGAACCUGCCUUUAGGUUCGGAAUAACUCAGAGAAAUUUGAGCUAAUACCGGAUGAUGUCUUCGGACCAAAGAUUUAUCGCCUUUAGAUGGGCCCGCGUUGGAUUAGCUAGUUGGUGGGGUAAAGGCCUACCAAGGCGACGAUCCAUAGCUGGUCUGAGAGGAUGAUCAGCCACACUGGGACUGAGACACGGCCCAGACUCCUACGGGAGGCAGCAAUGGGGAAUAUUGGACAAUGGGCGAAAGCCUGAUCCAGCAAUGCCGCGUGAGUGAUGAAGGCCUUAGGGUUGUAAAGCUCUUUUACCCGAGAUGAUAAUGACAGUAUCGGGAGAAUAAGCUCCGGCUAACUCCGUG
RNAcentral lists this ribosomal RNA (433 nucleotides) under uncultured bacterium. RNAcentral describes it as "partial 16S ribosomal RNA". It matches the Rfam family "Bacterial small subunit ribosomal RNA", at positions 29 to 507 of the family's 1533-position model. The record is from RNAcentral.